Molecule: ribosomal RNA, 502 nt
Filed under: uncultured bacterium
Lineage: Bacteria
Description: partial 16S ribosomal RNA
Rfam family: Bacterial small subunit ribosomal RNA
Source: RNAcentral
AUUGAACGCUGGCGGCACGCUUAACACAUGCAAGUCGAGCGGUAACAUGACUAGUAGCAAUACUAGUUGAUGACGAGCGGCGGACGGGUGAGUAACACGUAGGAACUUGCCCAGUAGUGGGGGACAACCAAGGGAAACUUUGGCUAAUACCGCAUAUUCUCGAGAGAGGAAAGCUGCCGCAAGGUGGCGCUAUUGGAGAGGCCUGCGUCCGAUUAGCUAGUUGGUUAGGUAAAGGCUCACCAAGGCGAGGAUCGGUAACUGGUCUGAGAGGACUACCACUCACGCUGGGAACGAGACACGGCCCAGACUCCUACGGGAGGCAGCAGUGGGGAAUCUUGGACAAUGGGGGCAACCCUGAUCCAGCGAUGCCGCGUGAGUGAAGAAGGCCUUCGGGUCGUAAAGCUCUUUAGGCUGGGAAGAAGUUUGGUAGUUUAAGAGAUAAUCAAUUUGACUGUACCAGCAGAAUAAGCACCGGCAAACUCUGUGCCAGCAGCCGCCGUAA